AAUGCAACGGUGAGAUGGAAAGAUUAAAAGUACGAACUCAAGAAAAAGAAAGAAAGAUUGGAAUUGGCGGAAUUGGAACUGCACAAAUCCCUGGAAGAUUGGGGAAAAGAGCGUAUUGUUGGAGACGAAGCAGGAUGGACACUAAAUUUCGAUUACCAAAAGCUUGGGCUUAUGGCAAGAAAUUUCAGAAUAGGGGACACACUUAGUGCAUUCAUUUGCAGGGUAUUAUAAAUAUGGUAUCACUAAAGGCACCAGCUCCUCCGAGCAUAGCAUCUGCUGCUCCCGUCACUUAUGGGAAAGAAUUUAUUGUUAGAGAUGAAGCAGGGUGGUUAAUUUUACAUAAAAAAAAAAAAAAAUCAAAAUUAGCCAUAUCAUUCCUUUUGCAAUUUGCGUUUGUUGUAUGGAUGUUAAACUAUACGAUCUCUCCCUUUACCAAAACCACAUUGGAAUAUAAUAAUUAUAAAGCAAGCAAGCAAGAGCUAACUGAAAAGGCAAGUUAAAUGGCUUCUAAUCAGCUGUUUGUUGGCUUUGCUAUGGUUGCAAUUAUUCUUCCGACAGUGGCCAUGGCAACUGAUUUUGUUGUUGGGGAUGAUCAAGGCUGGAAACUCGGUGUUAACUACACCGAAUGGGCUAAUGGCAAAGUAUUUCAUGUUGGUGACACAUUAGUCUUCAAAUACGAAGCACAGAGUGGAUGGAGAUGACUUCGAGGAAUGCGAGCCAUCAGGAAAAGUUCUGAAACAUUUGUGGUUUCUCUGAUCACUGUGAGAAAGGCGAGAAGCUUGUCAUCAACGUUCAAUCUGAUGCUCCUGCCAGUGGUUCCUACAAAUUUCUGUCAUCUCGGUGGCGUAUUUUGGUCGCAGUUAUGGUGGUCAUAGCAAUGAUUACACUUUAAGCACCCUAAUAUUCAUUUAUAAUUAAUAAGAGUAUUUUGCACCUCAGAUAUUAAUAGGUUGUAAGUGCAGACCAGCUUCUUAUGCUGGCUUUAUAUUUUUAAAUUUUAGAUAAUUUUGUCUUGCGAUAUUCUUGGAUGGUAAUUUGUCAAUUGCUAUUAUUAUUAUUAUUCAAUAGACCUUUAUUAGUAUUAA
This is a long non-coding RNA of Ricinus communis (castor bean), 1085 nucleotides long. RefSeq lists it as uncharacterized. Lineage: Eukaryota; Viridiplantae; Streptophyta; Magnoliopsida; Malpighiales; Euphorbiaceae. The transcript has 3 exons. The record is from RefSeq and is a predicted model, not a curated record.